CCUCCAUUUCUUGGCAUACUUGAGGUUGUUUAGUACUCGUGUAUGUAAUGUACGGAGGAAAAUAAAAAUGCAGUGCUAUGUCUUCGGUGCCGGUGUGUGAUGUAUCAUCUGCCGGUUCUAUCCUCAAUCGCUGCGACAUUC
Small nucleolar RNA from Cheilinus undulatus (humphead wrasse), 141 nucleotides. RefSeq annotates it as small nucleolar RNA SNORA57. The transcript has a single exon. The record is from RefSeq and is a predicted model, not a curated record. NCBI's taxonomy places the organism in Eukaryota, Metazoa, Chordata, Actinopteri, Labriformes, Labridae.